RNAcentral lists this ribosomal RNA (320 nucleotides) under Phoma sp. MSX63935. RNAcentral's name for it is "eukaryotic LSU rRNA". It matches the Rfam family "Eukaryotic large subunit ribosomal RNA", at positions 331 to 670 of the family's 3401-position model. Lineage: Eukaryota; Fungi; Ascomycota; Dothideomycetes; Pleosporales; Didymellaceae. The record is from RNAcentral.
AGACCGAUAGCGAACAAGUAGAGUGAUCGAAAGAUGAAAAGCACUUUGGAAAGAGAGUCAAAAAGCACGUGAAAUUGUUGAAAGGGAAGCGCUUGCAGCCAGACUUGCUUGCAGUUGCUCAUCCGGGCGUUCGCCCGGUGCACUCUUCUGUAGGCAGGCCAGCAUCAGUUUGGGCGGUUGGAUAAAGGCCUCUGUCAUGUAUCUUCUCCGGAAGACCUUAUAGGGGAGGCGUAAUGCAACCAGCCUGGACUGAGGUCCGCGCAUCUGCUAGGAUGCUGGCGUAAUGGCUGUAAGCGGCCCGUCUUGAAACACGGACCAAG